Molecule: ribosomal RNA, 470 nt
Filed under: uncultured bacterium
Lineage: Bacteria
Description: bacterial SSU rRNA
Rfam family: Bacterial small subunit ribosomal RNA
Source: RNAcentral
ACGAACGCUGGCGGCGUGCCUAACACAUGCAAGUCGAGCGAGAGAUCCUUCGGGAUGAUCCUAGCGGCGGACGGGUGAGUAACACGUGGGCAACCUGCCUCAUAGAGAGGAAUAGCCUUCCGAAAGGGAGAUUAAUACCUCAUAACAUUGCAGUUUCGCAUGGAACAGCAAUUAAGGAGUAAUCCGCUAUGAGAUGGGCCCGCGGCGCAUUAGCUAGUUGGUGAGGUAACGGCUCACCAAGGCGACGAUGCGUAGCCGACCUGAGAGGGUGAUCGGCCACAUUGGGACUGAGACACGGCCCAGACUCCUACGGGAGGCAGCAGUGGGGAAUAUUGCACAAUGGGGGAAACCCUGAUGCAAGCAACGCCGCGUGAGUGAUGACGGCCUUCGGGUUGUGAAGCUCUGUCUUCAGGGACGAUAAUGACGGUACCUGAGGAGGAAGCCACGGCUAACUACGUGCCAGCCGCGGC